AUACGGAGGGUGCAAGCGUUAUCCGGAUUUAUUGGGUUUAAAGGGUCCGUAGGCGGAUCUGUAAGUCAGUGGUGAAAUCUCAUAGCUUAACUAUGAAACUGCCAUUGAUACUGCAGGUCUUGAGUAAGGUAGAAGUAGCUGGAAUAAGUAGUGUAGCGGUGAAAUGCAUAGAUAUUACUUAGAACACCAAUUGCGAAGGCAGGUUACUAUGUCUUAACUGACGCUGAUGGACGAAAGCGUGGGGAGCGAACAGGAUUAGAAACCCCUGUAGUCC
RNAcentral lists this ribosomal RNA (274 nucleotides) under uncultured bacterium. RNAcentral describes it as "partial 16S ribosomal RNA". It matches the Rfam family "Bacterial small subunit ribosomal RNA", at positions 523 to 796 of the family's 1533-position model. The record is from RNAcentral.